AAUGACUCUCGGCAACGGAUAUCUCGGCUCUCGCAUCGAUGAAGAACGUAGCGAAAUGCGAUACUUGGUGUGAAUUGCAGAAUCCCGUGAACCAUCGAGUCUUUGAACGCAAGUUGCGCCCGAAGCUUCGGCUAAGGGCACGUCUGCCUGGGCGUCACGC
RNAcentral lists this ribosomal RNA (160 nucleotides) under Trigastrotheca pentaphylla. RNAcentral's name for it is "5.8S ribosomal RNA". It matches the Rfam family "5.8S ribosomal RNA". From Rfam's summary of the family: 5.8S ribosomal RNA (5.8S rRNA) is a component of the large subunit of the eukaryotic ribosome. It is transcribed by RNA polymerase I as part of the 45S precursor that also contains 18S and 28S rRNA. Lineage: Eukaryota; Viridiplantae; Streptophyta; Magnoliopsida; Caryophyllales; Molluginaceae. The record is from RNAcentral.